AACGAACGCUGGCGUGCCUAAUACAUGCAAGUCGAGCGAACGGACGAGAAGCUUGCUUCUCUGAUGUUAGCGGCGGACGGGGGGGUAACACGUGGAUAACCUACCUCUUAGACUGGGAUAACUUCGGGAAACCGGAGCUAAUACCGGAUAAUAUUUUGAACCGCAUGGUUCAACAGUGAAAGACGGUCUUGCUGUCGCUUAUAGAUGGAUCCGCGCUGCAUUAGCUAGUUGGUAAGGUAACGGCUUACCAAGGCAACGAUGCAUAGCCGACCUGAGAGGGUGAUCGGCCACACUGGAACUGAGACACGGUCCAGACUCCUAAGGGAGGCAGCAGUAGGGAAUCUGCCGCAAUGGGCGAAAGCCUGACGGAGCAACGCCGCGUGAGUGAUGAAGGUCUUCGGAUCGUAAAACUCUGUUAUGAGGGAAGAACAUAUGUGUAAGUAACUGUGCACAUCGUGACGGUACCUAAUCAGAAAGCCACGGCUAACUACGUG
This 494-nucleotide ribosomal RNA is filed under the name uncultured bacterium. Its description in RNAcentral is "partial 16S ribosomal RNA". It matches the Rfam family "Bacterial small subunit ribosomal RNA", at positions 29 to 507 of the family's 1533-position model. The record is from RNAcentral.